This 420-nucleotide ribosomal RNA is filed under the name uncultured bacterium. RNAcentral describes it as "bacterial SSU rRNA". It matches the Rfam family "Bacterial small subunit ribosomal RNA", at positions 356 to 773 of the family's 1533-position model. The record is from RNAcentral.
GAGGAAUAUUGGUCAAUGGGCGACAGCCUGAACCAGCCAUCCCGCGUGAAGGAAGAAGGCGCUAUGCGUUGUAAACUUCUUUUCCAGAGGAAUAAAAUUUUGUACGAGUACGGAACUGAAGGUACUCUGGGAAUAAGCAUCGGCUAACUCCGUGCCAGCAGCCGCGGUAAUACGGAGGAUGCGAGCGCUAUCCGGAUUCAUUGGGUUUAAAGGGUGCGUAGGCGGACUUAUAAGUCAGUGGUGAAAACCUGCAGCUUAACUGUAGACGUGCCAUUGAUACUGUUAGUCUUGAGUAUGGUCAAGGUAGGCGGAAUGUGUAAUGUAGCGGUGAAAUGCUUAGAUAUUACACAGAACACCGAUUGCGAAGGCAGCUUACUGGGCCAUUACUGACGCUGAUGCACGAAAGCGUGGGGAGCGAAC